This 668-nucleotide ribosomal RNA is filed under the name Salmonella enterica subsp. enterica serovar Oranienburg. Its description in RNAcentral is "partial 23S ribosomal RNA". It matches the Rfam family "Bacterial large subunit ribosomal RNA", at positions 1 to 702 of the family's 2925-position model. RNAcentral also lists the same sequence under 1 other name. The record is from RNAcentral. Lineage: Bacteria; Pseudomonadati; Pseudomonadota; Gammaproteobacteria; Enterobacterales; Enterobacteriaceae.
GGGUUGUGAGGUUAAGCGACUAAGCGUACACGGUGGAUGCCCUGGCAGUCAGAGGCGAUGAAGGGCGUGCUAAUCUGCGAUAAGCGCCGGUAAGGUGAUAUGAACCGUUAUAACCGGCGAUACCCGAAUGGGGAAACCCAGUGUGACUCGUCACACUAUCAUUAACUGAAUCCAUAGGUUAAUGAGGCGAACCGGGGGAACUGAAACAUCUAAGUACCCCGAGGAAAAGAAAUCAACCGAGAUUCCCUCAGUAGCGGCGAGCGAACGGGGAGGAGCCCAGAGCCUGAAUCAGCAUGUGUGUUAGUGGAAGCGUCUGGAAAGGCGCGCGAUACAGGGUGACAGCCCCGUACACAAAAGCGCAUAUGCUGUGAGCUCGAUGAGUAGGGCGGGACACGUGGUAUCCUGUCUGAAUAUGGGGGGACCAUCCUCCAAGGCUAAAUACUCCUGACUGACCGAUAGUGAACCAGUACCGUGAGGGAAAGGCGAAAAGAACCCCGGUGAGGGGAGUGAAAAAGAACCUGAAACCGUGUACGUACAAGCAGUGGGAGCACCCUUUGGGGUGUGACUGCGUACCUUUUGUAUAAUGGGUCAGCGACUUAUAUUCUGUAGCAAGGUUAACCGAAUAGGGGAGCCGGAGGGAAACCGAGUCUUAAUUGGGCGUUAAGUUG